This is a long non-coding RNA of Peromyscus maniculatus bairdii (prairie deer mouse), 321 nucleotides long. RefSeq lists it as uncharacterized. NCBI's taxonomy places the organism in Eukaryota, Metazoa, Chordata, Mammalia, Rodentia, Cricetidae. The record is from RefSeq and is a predicted model, not a curated record.
AAUGCCUCUCCUGAAAAGACAACAAACAGGAACAGAGGAAGGCCUUGUCCAACCACCUACUACAUGUGGCUUAGUUCUGAGCACAGCCUUGCCUUAAAAGAAUUCCAUCAAGGAGGAAGCAUUUGAAGGAGGACCACAGGGCUGCAGCCUCUGCAGAUAGAGUUGGACAAGAUUCAAAUGAGGUUGGGAUUCAGGAAUCCUAUUUCUCCUGGCUACAGCUCAGCUUUACCAGAACAGCCAAGGCAAGGAGAUUCGGGCUUUGGUGCCAACAAGGAAGACCCACUGCAAGUUUCAGCUGGGAAUCUCUGAGCUAAUGAUAAC